RNAcentral lists this ribosomal RNA (405 nucleotides) under uncultured bacterium. Its description in RNAcentral is "partial 16S ribosomal RNA". It matches the Rfam family "Bacterial small subunit ribosomal RNA", at positions 356 to 776 of the family's 1533-position model. The record is from RNAcentral.
GGGGAAUAUUGGGCAAUGGGCGCAAGCCUGACCCAGCAACGCCGCGUGAAGGAAGAAGGCUUUCGGGUUGUAAACUUCUUUUAUUCGGGACGAAGAAAGUGACGGUACCGAAUGAAUAAGCCACGGCUAACUACGUGCCAGCCGCCGCGGUAAUACGGAGGAUGCGAGCGUUAUCCGGAUUUAUUGGGUUUAAAGGGUGCGCAGGCGGACUGUUAAGUCAGCGGUAAAAUGUCGGUGCUCAACACCGGCCGGCCGUUGAAACUGGCAGCCUUGAGUGAGCGAGAAGUAUGCGGAAUGCGUGGUGUAGCGGUGAAAUGCAUAGAUAUCACGCAGAACUCCGAUUGCGAAGGCAGCAUACCGGCGCUCAACUGACGCUCAGGCACGAAAGCGUGGGUAUCGAACAGG